Molecule: transfer RNA, 94 nt
Filed under: Nitrososphaerota archaeon
Lineage: Archaea; Thermoproteati; Nitrososphaerota
Also listed under: 1 other name
Description: Thaumarchaeota archaeon tRNA-Ala
Rfam family: tRNA
About the family: Transfer RNA (tRNA) molecules are approximately 80 nucleotides in length. Their secondary structure includes four short double-helical elements and three loops (D, anti-codon, and T loops).
Source: RNAcentral
GGGCCGGUAGUUCAGUUGGUACGAACGCCCGCCUCGCACGCGGGAGAGAGCGAAGAGCUCCCCAAAGUCGGGGGUUCAAGUCCCCCCCGGUCCA